UACUAUGAAAUUCAUAAUCGUUAGUAUUAAUUGCAUACAUUUGCCUUAUGAAUCCCAUGCAAAAUGAUUAUGAAUAAAAAUCAUAAGGUAAACUUAUGAAACAAUAUGUCAUUUCAUGUGUUCAUCCACAGGAAAAUUUUCACCUCAGUGUUUUCGUUCUUUGCAUCCCAGUCAACCAUAUUUGGCAAAAUUGCAAAUAAAUUAUGCAGUGCCACGGUUUUGGACAACCUUCCGUUAUCAGAUACAGCAGGUCCAACGAGUGUAGUUUAGAGACCACAGAAAGGAAGCUGCUAUAUUGAUGCUUCCUGCCCCCUUGCUGCAGGAAAUCACUUUACAUCAAGUUAGUCCACUCACAUCAACGUACUUUAUACUCCUCCUCCUGAACUGUGAGUCCUCAAAAGAUGAGAAGUUUGAUGCAAGAAUUCUUGGUCCAUGGCUGCACCAAGUGUGGUAUGCUUGUUCUCCUGCUGGAGUUUCAGAGACGGAUAGCAGAAGCAUGUUCAUUGUCACGGUGAUCAGUUUGGAACAAGAUAUUAAUCCAAAAAUAGAGAAAGACUUAGUAUCAUACAAGCAUUUUGCCUUCCAAAAUAUAUAUCGCAAGAUGGCUGGAUCAAUCAAUUGAAAGAUUCAUUCGUAGCUAGC
Molecule: long non-coding RNA, 642 nt
Organism: Armigeres subalbatus
Lineage: Eukaryota; Metazoa; Arthropoda; Insecta; Diptera; Culicidae
Exons: 3
Source: RefSeq, a predicted model, not a curated record